UCUGGCGGUAGUUGCGCGGUGGUCCCACCUGACCCCAUGCCGAACUCAGAAGUGAAACGCCGUAGCGC
RNAcentral lists this ribosomal RNA (68 nucleotides) under Shigella flexneri. The record is from RNAcentral. Lineage: Bacteria; Pseudomonadati; Pseudomonadota; Gammaproteobacteria; Enterobacterales; Enterobacteriaceae.